This 468-nucleotide ribosomal RNA is filed under the name uncultured bacterium. RNAcentral describes it as "partial 16S ribosomal RNA". It matches the Rfam family "Bacterial small subunit ribosomal RNA", at positions 28 to 507 of the family's 1533-position model. The record is from RNAcentral.
GACGAACGCUGGCGGCGUGCUUAACACAUGCAAGUCGAACGGAAAGGCCCUGCUUUUGUGGGGUGCUCGAGUGGCGAACGGGUGAGUAACACGUGAGUAACCUGCCCUUGACUUUGGGAUAACUUCAGGAAACUGGGGCUAAUACCGGAUAGGAGCUCCUGCUGCAUGUUGGGGGUUGGAAAGUUUCGGCGGUUGGGGAUGGACUCGCGGCUUAUCAGCUUGUUGGUGGGGUAGUGGCUUACCAAGGCUUUGACGGGUAGCCGGCCUGAGAGGGUGACCGGCCACAAUGGGACUGAGAUACGGCCCAGACUCCUACGGGAGGCAGCAGUGGGGAAUAUUGCACAAUGGGCGGAAGCCUGAUGCAGCAACGCCGCGUGCGGGAUGACGGCCUUCGGGUUGUAAACCGCUGUCGCCUGUGACGAAGCGUGAGUGACGGUAAUGGGUAAAGAAGCACCGGCUAACUACGUG